This 676-nucleotide long non-coding RNA is filed under the name Pongo abelii (Sumatran orangutan). RNAcentral's name for it is "lincRNA". Lineage: Eukaryota; Metazoa; Chordata; Mammalia; Primates; Hominidae. The record is from RNAcentral.
GGAGACACUGUCUCUAAAAAAAAAAAAAAAAAAAAAAAAAAUUAGCCUCAGCAUGGUGGUGUGGACCUGUAGUCCUAGCCACUCAGGAGACUGACAGGCAGGAGGAUCUGCUUGAGCCUAGGAGUUCCGGGCUGCAGUGAGCUAUGAUUGCACCACUGCAUUCCAUCCUGGACAACAGAGCAACACAGUGUCUCAGAAAGAGAGAGAGAUAACACUGGUGGAUGGUAGGAAGAGCAAUUGACAGCACCAUCUCUGGGCUUCUCACAAGUUUAUACAUCUGCUUCCUAUUACAAUGAUACCUACAGCCUCUGAGAGCCGGUAUUCCAACGCCACAAGACGCCUUAUGUCGUGAGCAGUUGACAACAGAGACCCAGCACUUACUGCAACCGGAAGGAGCAGUUCCUCCCUCGCUCGCGCAGCCGCUCUUCCCCGCCACUCCCUGGGUGCCUGCCAGCACCUUCCCAGCAAGCCCUGCGUAUAUUUGCAUAUCAACUCACGUCUUUUUCUUCUAACUAAAAAUCGAAAGCACAAAUUCUAGAUUCUCCUUGUGAAGUCUUCCUUUCACUUCAGAAGAAAUGGAAUUCGCUCUUCAACUUCAGGAAGUUGAAAUAAAGAGUUGCUUGGAUUUUGUGGUCACCUUUACCAUAAAAUGGAUUUGAUAACACUGCCACCCUGC